This 781-nucleotide ribosomal RNA is filed under the name Entelexis vaccinii. Its description in RNAcentral is "LSU rRNA". It matches the Rfam family "Eukaryotic large subunit ribosomal RNA", at positions 38 to 963 of the family's 3401-position model. Lineage: Eukaryota; Fungi; Ascomycota; Dipodascomycetes; Dipodascales; Trichomonascaceae. The record is from RNAcentral.
GCAUAUCAAUAAGCGGAGGAAAAGAAACCAACAGGGAUGCCCCUAGUAAUGGCGAAUGAACAGGCAAAAAGCUUCAGAUUUGAAACCCUCGGGAUUGUAAUCUGGAGGCCUGGAUUUGGCGCGCUGACCAAGUCUCCUGGAACGGAGCGCCAUGGAGGGUGACAGCCCCGUAGCAGCAGCCAGUGCAAAUCCGGGCCCACGAGUCGAGUUGUUUGGGAAUGCAGCUCUAAGUGGGUGGUAUGCUCCAUCUAAAGCUAAAUAUUGGCGAGAGACCGAUAGCGAACAAGUACUGUGAAGGAAAGAUGAAAAGAACUUUGAAAAGAGAGUGAAAAAGUACGUGAAAUUGUUGAAAUGGAAGGCAAUGAGGUGCGAUUGCGCCGGGCGUUUGGGGGCAGGACAAAAGCGCAGGCCGCUUCGGCACUGCCUGCGUGCAUGCUGCCUCCCGGACCACCGGGGCUAACAACGCCUUACUGCACCCGUCUUGAAACACGGACCAAGGAGUCUAUUGCCUAUGCGAGUGUUUGGGUGGCAAACCCAUACGCGCAGUGAAAGCACACGGUUCGAACCCAUUUCGGGGGCAGAACCGGCCGAACUCUCCAGGGAGUAUUGAGCAAGCAUAUGUGAUGGGACCCGAAAGAUGGUGAACUAUGCCUGAGUAGGGUGAAGCCAGAGGAAACUCUGGUGGAGGCUCGCAGCGGUUCUGACGUGCAAAUCGAUUCGUCGAAACUUUGGGUAUAGGGGCGAAAGACUAAUCGAACCAUCUAGUAGCUGGUUCCUGCCG